This 229-nucleotide ribosomal RNA is filed under the name uncultured bacterium. RNAcentral's name for it is "partial 16S ribosomal RNA". It matches the Rfam family "Bacterial small subunit ribosomal RNA", at positions 568 to 796 of the family's 1533-position model. The record is from RNAcentral.
CGUGUAGGCGGGAAUGUAAGUCAGACGUGAAAUGCCGGAGCUCAACUCCGGAACGGCGUUUGAAACUACAUUUCUUGAGGAUAGGCGGAGAAAAUGGAAUUCCACAUGUAGCGGUGAAAUGCGUAGAUAUGUGGAAGAACACCUGUGGCGAAAGCGGUUUUCUAGCUUAUUCCUGACGCUAAGGCGCGAAAGCAAGGGGAGCGAACAGGAUUAGAUACCCUGGUAGUCC